Molecule: ribosomal RNA, 484 nt
Filed under: uncultured bacterium
Lineage: Bacteria
Description: partial 16S ribosomal RNA
Rfam family: Bacterial small subunit ribosomal RNA
Source: RNAcentral
AAUGAACGUUGGCGGCGUGGAUUAGGCAUGCAAGUCGUACGGGUCGGUGUAGCAAUACAACGGCAAGUGGCGAAAGGGAGAGUAACACGUAGAUACCUACCCUCUGGUCGGGGAUACCGCGACAUAACCGCAAGUAAUACCCGAUAAAAUCUCCGGAUCAAAGGUGUGAUUCCGCCGGAGGAGGGGUCUGCGGUCUAUCAGCUUGUUGGUGAGGUAAUGGCUCACCAAGGCUAAGACGGAUACGGGGUGUGAGAGCAUGCCCCCGCUCACUGGGACUGAGACACUGCCCAGACACCUACGGGUGGCUGCAGUCGAGAAUCUUCGGCAAUGGGCGCAAGCCUGACCGAGCGACGCCGCGUGCGGGAUGAAGGCCUUCGGGUUGUAAACCGCUGUCGAGGGGAAUGAAGUGUAGGUGGGUACUCCCAUCUAUUUGACAGAUCCCUGGAGGAAGCAUGGGCUAAGUUCGUGCCAGCAGCCGCCGUAA